UACGGGAGUGGCAAGCGUUAUCCGGAAUUAUUGGGCGUAAAGCGUCCGCAGGCGGUCUUGUAAGUCUGUUGUUAAAGCGUGGAGCUUAACUCCAUUUCAGCAAUGGAAACUGUAAGACUAGAGUGUGGUAGGGGCAGAGGGAAUUCCCGGUGUAGCGGUGAAAUGCGUAGAUAUCGGGAAGAACACCAGUGGCGAAGGCGCUCUGCUGGGCCAUAACUGACGCUCAUGGACGAAAGCCAGGGGAGCGAAAGGGAUUAGAUACCCCUGUAGUCCUGGCCGUAAACGAUGAACACUAGGUGUCGGGGGAAUCGACCCCCUCGGUGUCGUAGCCAACGCGUUAAGUGUUCCGCCUGGGGAGUACGCACGCAAGUGUGAAACUCAAAGGAAUUGACGGGGGCCCGCACAAGCGGUGGAGUAUGUGGUUUAAUUCGAUGCAACGCGAAGAACCUUACCAGGGUUUGACAUCCUGCGAAUCUUUUGGAAACAGAAGAGUGCCUUCGGGAACGCAGUGACAGGUGGUGCGUGGCUGUCGUCAGCUCGUGUCGUGAGAUGUUGGGUUAAGUCCCGCAACGAGCGCAACCCACGUCGUUAGUUGCCAGCAUUGAGUUGGGCACUCUAGCGAGACCGCCGGUGAUAAACCGGAGGAAGGUGUGGAUGACGUCAAGUCAUCAUGCCCCUUACAUCCUGGGCUACACACGUACUACAAUGCUACGGACAAAGGGCAGCAAACUCGCGAGAGCUAGCAAAUCCCAUAAACCGUGGCUCAGUUCAGAUCGUAGGCUGCAACUCGCCUACGUGAAGGAGGAAUCGCUAGUAAUCGCAGGUCAGCAUACUGCGGUGAAUACGUUCCCGGGCCU
This 857-nucleotide ribosomal RNA is filed under the name uncultured bacterium. RNAcentral describes it as "SSU rRNA". It matches the Rfam family "Bacterial small subunit ribosomal RNA", at positions 524 to 1381 of the family's 1533-position model. The record is from RNAcentral.